This is a long non-coding RNA of Gossypium raimondii (Peruvian cotton), 882 nucleotides long. RefSeq lists it as uncharacterized. The transcript is spliced from 2 exons. Lineage: Eukaryota; Viridiplantae; Streptophyta; Magnoliopsida; Malvales; Malvaceae. The record is from RefSeq and is a predicted model, not a curated record.
AGAAGGUUUUGCUGCAGCAUUAGAGAAAGAAAGAAAAAAAACACUUUUAAGAGUCUCCUCUCUGCUGGGGUUUCCAAUCCCCUUGAUGCCAAUUGAUGAGCCGCCUCAGUGGUUCGCCGCACCACCACUAUGGCUGAUGGCCGACGACAAACGACCACGGGGAGAUGUCAGGCGGCGCGAUAGUUGCGUGCAGCGACGCGAAGGGCAUACGAGGCGACCGCGUGUGGUGCCGGGACUGGGGCAGAGGCGCAUGCGGCGCCCUAGGGCUUCCCUCUUUGCUGAAAAACUUUUGUUUGUGGGCUAGGGUUUUUUAAUUUUCUUUUGGGCCUAUUGGGUUUAGGCUUGUAGUUCUGAUUGGACUGUAAUUUUUUUACUUAUUUUUGGGUUGGUUGGUUUUGCUAGUGGGCCGGGCAGAAAAUGGGUCUGACAGUUGUGUUUUGUUUUGGCUGCAUGAAAUUUUGACUGCAUGGCAUUUCAUCAUAGAAAAGAGGCGUUGAUUCACGUGUGGUUGCUAAAUAGAGAGCUUGUCAUGGAAAAUGAAUUUCUUGAUAAAGUGGAAGUGAAUACGGUUGUCCGAAUAUAGUUCAAGAAAACAUGAAGCGAGAAGUGUAACAAGAGGAGUAUACGACCUUGUUGCGUUGCUUCAAGAUUCAAGUUAGCAAAGAUUAUUCAAGAGUCGUCAAACAUCCCAACCCUUUUAAAGAAGCUCAUGAGCAUGAGUGAGUAAGGAGUUGCGACCUGGAAGAGCUAGUAGAUGUCUAUUGGAAAAUUCGCGUGAUACAUCUUAAUAUCCGGAUGAUCGAGGGCGAAGCUGUAUAUGUAUCUGCUUUAUGUAAAGAGAUCUGUUUUCUAGUAAAGUUCUAGUAAAGAAUUGAACCUGAA